AAAAAAGGUAAGCUACUAAGAGCGAAUGGUGGAUGCCUUGACUGGUAAAGGCGAUGAAGGACGUACUAGACUGCGAUAAGCUACGGGGAGCUGUCAAGAAGCUUUGAUCCGUAGAUUUCCGAAUGGGGCAACCCAAUGUAUAGAGAUAUACAUUACCUAUAUAGGAGCGAACGAGGGGAAUUGAAACAUCUUAGUACCCUCAGGAAAAGAAAUCAAUAGAGAUUGCGUCAGUAGCGGCGAGCGAAAGCGUAAGAGGGCAAACCCAGUGCUUGCACUGGGGGUUGUAGGACUGCAAUGUGCAAGAGGUGAGUUUAGCAGAACAUUCUGGAAAGUAUAGCCAUAGAGGGUGAUAGUCCCGUAUGCGAAAAACAAACCUUAGCUAGCAGUAUCCUGAGUAGGGCGGGACACGAGAAAUCCUGUCUGAAGCUGGGUCGACCACGAUCCAACCCUAAAUACUAAUACCAGAUCGAUAGUGCACAAGUACCGUGAGGGAAAGGUGAAAAGAACUGAGGUGAUCAGAGUGAAAUAGAACCUGAAACCAUUUGCUUACAAUCAUUCAGAGCACUAUGUAGCAAUACAGUGUGAUGGACUGCCUUUUGCAUAAUGAGCCUGCGAGUUGUGGUGUCUGGCAAGGUUAAGCAAACGCGAAGCCGUAGCGAAAGCGAGUCUGAAUAGGGCGCUUAGUCAGAUGCUGCAGACCCGAAACGAAGUGAUCUAUCCAUGAGCAAGUUGAAGCUAGUGUAAGAACUAGUGGAGGACUGAACCCAUAGGCGUUGAAAAGCCCCGGGAUGACUUGUGGAUAGGGGUGAAAGGCCAAUCAAACUUCGUGAUAGCUGGUUCUCUCCGAAAUAUAUUUAGGUAUAGCGUUGUGUCGUAAUAUAAGGGGGUAGAGCACUGAAUGGGCUAGGGCAUACACCAAUGUACCAAACCCUAUCAAACUCCGAAUACCUUAUAUGUAAUCACAGCAGUCAGGCGGCGAGUGAUAAAAUCCGUCGUCAAGAGGGAAACAACCCAGACUACCAGCUAAGGUCCCUAAAUCUUACUUAAGUGGAAAACGAUGUGAAGUUACUUAAACAACCAGGAGGUUGGCUUAGAAGCAGCCAUCCUUUAAAGAAAGCGUAAUAGCUCACUGGUCUAGUGAUUUUGCGCGGAAAAUAUAACGGGGCUAAAGUAAGUACCGAAGCUGUAGACUUGAUUUUAUCAAGUGGUAGGAGAGCGUUCUAUUUGCGCCGAAGGUAUACCGGUAAGGAGUGCUGGAGCGAAUAGAAGUGAGCAUGCAGGCAUGAGUAGCGAUAAUUAAUGUGAGAAUCAUUAACGCCGUAAACCCAAGGUUUCCUACGCGAUGCUCGUCAUCGUAGGGUUAGUCGGGUCCUAAGUCGAGUCCGAAAGGGGUAGACGAUGGCAAAUUGGUUAAUAUUCCAAUACCAACAUUAGUGUGCGAUGGAAGGACGCUUAGGGCUAAGGGGGCUAGCGGAUGGAAGUGCUAGUCUAAGGUCGUAGGAGGUUAUACAGGCAAAUCCGUAUAACAUACUCCGAGAACUGAAAGGCUUUUUGAAGUCUUCGGAUGGAUAGAAGAACCCCUGAUGCCAUCGAGCCAAGAAAAGUUUCUAAGUUUAGCUAAUGUUGCCCGUACCGUAAACCGACACAGGUGGGUGGGAUGAGUAUUCUAAGGCGCGUGGAAGAACUCUCUUUAAGGAACUCUGCAAAAUAGCACCGUAUCUUCGGUAUAAGGUGUGGUUCGCUUCGUAUUAGGAUUUACUCCGAAAGCGAAGAAACUUACAACAAAGAGUCCCUCCCGACUGUUUACCAAAAACACAGCACUCUGCUAACUCGUAAGAGGAUGUAUAGGGUGUGACGCCUGCCCGGUGCUCGAAGGUUAAUUGAUGGGGUUAGCAUUAGCGAAGCUCUUGAUCGAAGCCCGAGUAAACGGCGGCCGUAACUAUAACGGUCCUAAGGUAGCGAAAUUCCUUGUCGGUUAAAUACCGACCUGCAUGAAUGGCGUAACGAGAUGGGAGCUGUCUCAAAGAGGGAUCCAGUGAAAUUGUAGUGGAGGUGAAAAUUCCUCCUACCCGCGGCAAGACGGAAAGACCCCGUGGACCUUUACUACAGCUUGACACUGCUAUUUGGAUAAGAAUGUGCAGGAUAGGUGGGAGGCUUUGAGUAUAUGACGCCAGUUGUAUAUGAGCCAUUGUUGAGAUACCACUCUUUCUUAUUUGGGUAGCUAACCAGCUUGAGUUAUCCUCAAGUGGGACAAUGUCUGGUGGGUAGUUUGACUGGGGCGGUCGCCUCCCAAAUAAUAACGGAGGCUUACAAAGGUUGGCUCAGAACGGUUGGAAAUCGUUCGUAGAGUAUAAAGGUAUAAGCCAGCUUAACUGCAAGACAUACAAGUCAAGCAGAGACGAAAGUCGGUCUUAGUGAUCCGGUGGUUCUGUGUGGAAGGGCCAUCGCUCAAAGGAUAAAAGGUACCCCGGGGAUAACAGGCUGAUCUCCCCCAAGAGCUCACAUCGACGGGGAGGUUUGGCACCUCGAUGUCGGCUCAUCGCAUCCUGGGGCUGGAGCAGGUCCCAAGGGUAUGGCUGUUCGCCAUUUAAAGCGGUACGCGAGCUGGGUUCAGAACGUCGUGAGACAGUUCGGUCCCUAUCUGCCGUGGGCGUAAGAAGAUUGAAGAGAUUUGACCCUAGUACGAGAGGACCGGGUUGAACAAACCACUGGUGUAGCUGUUGUUCUGCCAAGAGCAUCGCAGCGUAGCUAAGUUUGGAAAGGAUAAACGCUGAAAGCAUCUAAGCGUGAAGCCAACUCUAAGAUGAAUCUUCUCUAAGCUCUCUAGAAGACUACUAGUUUGAUAGGCUGGGUGUGUAAUGGAUGAAAGUCCUUUAGCUGACCAGUACUAAUAGAGCGUUUGGCUUAUCUUUAAUAAAGCAU
This 2922-nucleotide ribosomal RNA is filed under the name Campylobacter coli. Its description in RNAcentral is "23S ribosomal RNA". It matches the Rfam family "Bacterial large subunit ribosomal RNA". Lineage: Bacteria; Pseudomonadati; Campylobacterota; Epsilonproteobacteria; Campylobacterales; Campylobacteraceae. The record is from RNAcentral.